Long non-coding RNA from Lotus japonicus, 2580 nucleotides. RefSeq lists it as uncharacterized. The record is from RefSeq and is a predicted model, not a curated record. Lineage: Eukaryota; Viridiplantae; Streptophyta; Magnoliopsida; Fabales; Fabaceae. The transcript is spliced from 5 exons.
ACGUGGAGAUAAAACUUGAGAAGGGGCAAAUAUUCACUGCUAAGAGUAUCUUUAUCACUGCUGUGAAGGAAUAUGCACUGCAGAAUAAGAAGAGUAUACAUUUUGAGAAGAGUGAUUCCAAGAGGGUUGUAGUUAAGUGCUUGAAAGGGUGUCCAUUCUAUAUAAGGGCAUCAAAGUACUCUGAGAAGACCUAUUUCCAGAUUGUGACACUGAUGCCUGACCAUACUUGCCACAGGACAUCAAAAAAUAGAAAAUUCAGGACCAGUUACAUUGCAAAAAAGUUUGUUGCUACCCUUAGGCAUUCCCCCACACUAAGGUGAGAGCUUUGGUUGAGGAGGCAAAGACAAGGUGGGGCAAAGGUCAGGGCACUUGAAAUGAUUCAAGCGGCAAUCUCUGAGCAGUAUUCCCAUCUGAGGAGCUAUGCAGAUGAACUCCUAAGGAGUAACCAGGCAGCACAGUGAUUAUUAAAAGCACAGUUGGGGUACCUGGUCCAGUUUUUGAAAGGAUCUAUGUAUGCUUUGCUGCUUGUAAAACUGCCUUUGCAACCACAUGUAGACCCUUGAUAGGAUUGGAUGGAUGUUUCCUAAAGGGUGUAUAUGGUGGGCAGUUGCUUAGUGCUGUGGGAAAGGAUGGCAACAACUAGAUGAUUCCCAUAGCAUUUGCUGUGGUAGAAGCUGAAACAAAAGAGUCAUGGACUUGGUUUCUGGAACUUUUGUUGUCUGAUUUGGACAGAAUUCAGCGUAGACCCUGGUGUUUCAUUUCAGAUCAACAAAAAGGCUUGGUGCCUACUUUGCAGGAGAUGAUUCCCAAUGUAGACCACAGGUUGUGUGUCAAGCAUUUGUAUGGUAACUGGAGGAAAAAGUAUCCUGGUGAGGAGAUGAAAGGAGCACUUUGGGUUGCAGCAAGAGCAAGCACGGAGCCAGAGUUUGAUAGGGCCAUGUAGAGGUUGAAGAAAUUGAAUGAAGAAACUUGGAAAGACAUGUGUGAAAUACCACCUAAGAUGUGGAGUAGGCCCGCAUUCAGCACCUAUCCUCAAUGUGAUCUCCAAGUCAACAACAUAUGCGAGGCCUUCAAUAGAGCCAUCCUGGAAUAUAGAGACAAGCCUAUAAUCUCACUCAUUGAAGGUCUGAAGUUUUAUCUGAGCUACAGGAUUGUGAGCAGAGAGAUUUAAUGUUGAGAUAUAGGGGUGACAUUUGUCCAAUGAUACAACAAAAACUGGAGUUGGCUAAACAAGAGUAUGAUGGUUGGUUUCCUCACUGGAAUGGAGAUACAGACUAUUCACUGUUUGAGGUGUCAAAGGGUAAGAACAAAUAUUUUGUGGUGCUGGCUAACAAUAGUUGUUCAUGCAGAAGGUGGGAUUUAUCAGGCAUCCCUUGCUGUCAUGCAUUCACAUGUAUGUGGUUUAACAACCAAAUACCAGAAACCUUUGUCAACAUGUGUUACAGGAAAGAUACUUUUCUGCAAACCUAUGGGCAUAUAAUAUUACCAUCUAAUGGUCCAAAGCUGUGGCCAGUGAGUAACUCCAUCCUCCAUACAUGAGAAGAGCUCCUGGGAGACCCAAGAAGGCAAGAAGGAAGGCUAAUGAUGAGCCUACAAAUCCUUACAGAAUAAGGCGACAAUAAUCAACUGUUAAAUGUAGGAGAUGUGGACAGUCUAGACACAAUGUCAGGACCUGUGUCGGAAAGACUGUUGCGGAUAGAGAGAUUCCUAAAGGAGGGAACAAGGACAAUAUACAGUUGCAACACCCUGAAGAGAGAGGCAAAGGAGCUGGGACGAAGGCAACUGCAAGUGGAACUAAGGCAACUGCAAAUGGGGAAAAAGGAAAGGGAGUUGCAGCUGCAACUGUAGACAAAGGAAAAGGAAUUGCAAUUGGGAGUGGAUCUAAUGGAAAGGCAACUAAGAAAAAAGCUGCUCCAACUAAGACAAAACCUGCUACUGCUAAGAAAACCACAAGAACUGCUGCUACUCAUACUAGGCAAACAGCCCAAGUUCAAGCACCCCAACCUCCACAAAGUUCUGCAAUACCACCCCGACCUCCAGCAGCACUGAAUCCUCAGCCUACUCCUACUCCAUCCUCACAAAUAGCAAGUUUUGUAACUGCUUCAGGUUCUGCUACAGAUGGAGGGAUGGGGAUAUCUAGGAAGAGACAGAAGUUAUUGGGAACUCAAGAAAGCACCACUGGUUAGAGAAGGAAGGAAGAGACAAGAGACUGAAUUUGAAUUAAGUCUAGUUAUUAGUACUAUGUAAUGAAGACCUAUGUCAUUUUGUGUGUGAUAAUCUCAGCGGUUGAGAUAUUCAGCUUAUCUAUGUUAUUUUGUGUUUGUUAACCUUAAUUUAUGGAUUGAUGGUAUGUAUUUUGGUAUGGAAGACUUUUUUGGACAUGUUAUUUAUUUGUCUUAAGGGUCUGGCAUUGUUUAUUUUGAAUGUUGAUUUAGGUUGCAUUUGGAUGAUUGCACUUAGUGCAACUAUACAAAUUGUUCAUUUUACUGUGCCAUUGGACUAUCAUAGAAUGGACUAGCAGCCAUUGCAUUUAUGUAAAACCAUUGAAGAUUCUCCAUUAAUAUCUACAUAAUUUUCACA